GUUAUCGAGGAACUAUUGGACGAAUUACACGGAGCAGCCUGGUUUUCCAAGUUGGAUUUACGUGCGGGGUACCAUCAGAUUAGACUCGCGCCGGGGGAAGAGUACAAAACAGCGUUCUCUACCCACCAGGGACAUUUUGAGUUCAAGGUGUUAUCAUUUGGAUUAACAGGGGCCCCACCUACCUUCAUUGAAGGGUUAACCACAACUCUUAAGCCAGUCAUAAGAGUCUAUGUCCUCUGUUUCUUCGAUGACAUCUUAAUCUUCAGUACUUCUUUGGAAGAGCACAAGUGCCAUGUGAGGCAGGUGCUGGAGUUGCUGCGCAAGGACCAAUGGAAAGUAAAAUACAGUAAGUGUGCUUUUGGGCAA
RNAcentral lists this ribosomal RNA (366 nucleotides) under Triticum aestivum (bread wheat). Its description in RNAcentral is "partial small subunit ribosomal RNA". Lineage: Eukaryota; Viridiplantae; Streptophyta; Magnoliopsida; Poales; Poaceae. The record is from RNAcentral.